RNAcentral lists this ribosomal RNA (253 nucleotides) under uncultured bacterium. RNAcentral's name for it is "partial 16S ribosomal RNA". It matches the Rfam family "Bacterial small subunit ribosomal RNA", at positions 524 to 776 of the family's 1533-position model. The record is from RNAcentral.
GACGUAGGGCGCGAGCGUUGUCCGGAUUUAUUGGGCGUAAAGAGCUCGUAGGCGGCUUGUCGCGUCGACUGUGAAAACUCGGGGCUCAACUCCGAGCUUGCAGUCGAUACGGGCAGGCUAGAGUUCGGUAGGGGAGACUGGAAUUCCUGGUGUAGCGGUGAAAUGCGCAGAUAUCAGGAGGAACACCGGUGGCGAAGGCGGGUCUCUGGGCCGUAACUGACGCUGAGGAGCGAAAGCAUGGGGAGCGAACAGG